Molecule: long non-coding RNA, 957 nt
Filed under: Homo sapiens (human)
Lineage: Eukaryota; Metazoa; Chordata; Mammalia; Primates; Hominidae
Description: non-protein coding HOMER3-AS1:9
Source: RNAcentral
AACUAGUCAUGCGCCUCGGAUGCCGCCGGCCACGGGGCUCCCGGAGGGGGGUCCGACACCGCCCGGUGCCCGGGAUCCCCAAUCUGGCCGGUGGAUGAGGCCCCAUCCCAUGCACCCGAGUGCGGGGGACGGGGGGGUUAAUAUUAAUUCAGGAUCCCAUCCCCACCCGAGGCAGGACACCCAGUGCACGCCCCAACUCCGGGACGCGGGCUCUGACCCUGGAACUUCCGAGAUUCCCGCGACGCCCCCUGUCUCUGGGUCCAGAACUUCGGGGGACACCUCUUCUGCCUCCUCCAACCCCAGAGAUGGGGUGUCACUAUGUUGCCCAGGCUGGUCUCCAACUCCUGGACUCAAGAGAUCUGCCUGCCUCAGCCUCUCAAAGGGCUGGGAUAACAGAUGUAAGCCACUGCAUCUGGCCUCCAAUGAGUUGUUAUGUGAAGAGAACGUGAUUAAGUUAGAGGACUCCAACCAGGCCUGAACUCUCAAGGACAGAAAUGGGUCCAACCUGGCAUGACAUCCUCUAAAUCUUUAGCUCCUGGCCUCUCAGGUGCCCCCUCCAGCUACCUCCCUCUUCCUUCUCUUCAUUCCCCAAGCCAUAGCUGGUUGGGCCAACCUCCAGACAUUAGCCUCUUUGCAAACUCCUAUUCAUCCCUCAAAGCCUCACCUUCAAUGCUCUCCUCCCCAAGAAGCUCUCUCCUCUACCUCUAGACCUUUUCCAGCCCUCUUCCCUCUUUCUGGCCCAGCCCUGACUCCUGGGAGUGUCUGUGUGCAGCUUUGACUCCCCCAGCCUGAGUGUCUCUCAAGGGCUGAGACCAGGGCCCAUGUUUCCCUAGAGUUUGUCAUCUUCCAGCAUAGUGUGGACGCAUGGGGGUCAGGCAAAGGGGGAGUUUGAUGACUCAGUACUAUUGGUGAUUUUGCAUCACUUGAAGGAGACCCUGCCUUAAAUUCAGAACUUGA